This 72-nucleotide transfer RNA is filed under the name Loxodonta africana (African savanna elephant). It matches the Rfam family "tRNA". Rfam says of the family: Transfer RNA (tRNA) molecules are approximately 80 nucleotides in length. Their secondary structure includes four short double-helical elements and three loops (D, anti-codon, and T loops). The record is from Rfam by way of RNAcentral. Lineage: Eukaryota; Metazoa; Chordata; Mammalia; Proboscidea; Elephantidae.
GCCCUAGUGGCUCAAUGGUUAAGUGCUUGGCUGCUAACCAAAAGGUCAGCGGUUCAAACCCACCUAGUGGCU